Molecule: transfer RNA, 64 nt
Filed under: Coccotorus chaoi
Lineage: Eukaryota; Metazoa; Arthropoda; Insecta; Coleoptera; Curculionidae
Description: tRNA-Gly
Source: RNAcentral
AUUUAUAUAAUAUAAUCAAUUAUAUUUAAUUUCCAAUUAAAAAAUCUAAAACUUAGUAUGAAUA